GUAGUUUUAUUUUUGUGAUAUUCUAGUUGGUUUUACUGUCCUUCGUUGACAGGCUUUUAGUGAUUUACGUGUAUUUAUGAUGAAGGUAAAAACUUGUUUUAUUCACAAUAUGGCU
Molecule: long non-coding RNA, 115 nt
Organism: Haliotis rubra (blacklip abalone)
Lineage: Eukaryota; Metazoa; Mollusca; Gastropoda; Lepetellida; Haliotidae
Exons: 3
Source: RefSeq, a predicted model, not a curated record